AUUGGAUGAGCCGAUACCGGCGUGUUUUGGCAUCGCAGGUGUAAUUUACAAACAGCAAUUUAACAACUAAUUAACGCGUUUUGAAUGAUAGAACGUGUUUACUACGCUAUGUGAGUCGAACUGAAGAGAAGAAAGACAGUGCAGCUGUUUGGACUCUCAUUCUGAUGGCACCCAUUCACUGCAGAGCAUCCACUGCUGAGCAAGUGAUGCAAUGCUACGUUUCUCCAAAACUGAUGAAGAAACAAACUCCUCUACAUCUUGGAUGACCUGAGUGAAUCGAGCCCUUCCUGCGCUCUCAUUCAUGCCACUGCGAGACACAAACGGCACGCUCUCCUCCUCCUCGUCUUCCUCCUGUCCCUCGGCCUCCUGCUCGCCCCCUUCCCUCCUGCCGUCCUCUGGCCCCGGGUGAGGAGAGUAAGGGAGGGAUGCUAGCGCACAGUCUUCUGAAGGGUACUCACAAACUUUCUCCAGCUGAGCGUCAUCGAAACACACCUUCACCUAAACCAGAGGGACGGUGAGAGAAAGAGUGACAGACAGUCAGGAGAGACACAUUACAGCACAGUCUGGAAAAUCCAAGUGCUUAUGCUAAAAAAGAGUUAGAAAAGACUAAAACGUUUAUUUGGCAUAACAUCAGCUUUUGUUUUCCACAGAAGAAAUCUUACAGGUUUGGAACAUCAUGAGGCAUACAAUAAGCAGUGUCGGGUAAAUUAUUCUAAAAAAA
Cyprinus carpio carpio is the source of this 721-nucleotide long non-coding RNA. NCBI's taxonomy places the organism in Eukaryota, Metazoa, Chordata, Actinopteri, Cypriniformes, Cyprinidae. The record is from Ensembl.